AACGAACGCUGGCGGCAGGCCUAACACAUGCAAGUCGAGCGCCCUUUCGGGGGAGCGGCGGACGGGUGAGUACCGCGUGGUAAUAUGCCCUUCUCUACGGAAUAGCCUCGGGAAACUGAGAGUAAUACCGUAUACCCCCUGUGGGGGACAGAUUUAUCGGGGAAGGAUUAGCCCGCGAUGGAUUAGGUUGUUGGUGGGGUAAUGGGCUACCAAGCCGACGAUCCAUAGCUGGUUUGAGAGGAUGAUCAGCCACACGUGGACUGAGACACGGCGCAGACCCCUACGGGAGGCAGCAGUGGGGAAUCCUAGACUGUGGGGGCAACCCUGAUCUAGCCAUGCCUCGUGAGUGAUGAAGGCCUUAGGGAUGUAAAGCUCUUUCAGCUGGGAAUAUAAUGACGGUACCAGCAGAAGAAGCCCCGGCUAACUCCGUG
This 431-nucleotide ribosomal RNA is filed under the name uncultured bacterium. RNAcentral describes it as "partial 16S ribosomal RNA". It matches the Rfam family "Bacterial small subunit ribosomal RNA", at positions 29 to 507 of the family's 1533-position model. The record is from RNAcentral.